GGGGACUCCGAGUGCGGGGGCAUAUAGUCCUCGCUUUUGAGAACCGUAAGGCGGUUCUCGAAUAAGAGCUGGGCAAGACCGGUGCCAGCCGCCGCGGUAAUACCGGCAGCUCAAGUGAUGGCCAAUCUUAUUGGGCCUAAAGCGUCCGUAGCUGGCCACGAAAGUCCGUCGGGAAAUCCAUCUGCCCAACAGAUGGGCGUCCGGCGGAAACUUCGUGGCUUGGGACCGGAAGGCUCGAGGGGUACGUCCGGGGUAGGAGUGAAAUCCCGUAAUCCUGGACGGACCGCCGAUGGCGAAAGCACCUCGAGAAGACGGAUCCGACAGUGAGGGACGAAAGCUAGGGUCUCGAACCGGAUUAGAUACCCGGGUAGUCCUAGCCGUAAACAAUGUUCACUAGGUGUGGCACAGGCUACGAGCCUGUGCUGUGCCGUAGGGAAGCCGAGAAGUGAACCGCCUGGGAAGUACGUCCGCAAGGAUGAAACUUAAAGGAAUUGGCGGGGGAGCACUACAACCGGAGGAGCCUGCGGUUUAAUUGGACUCAACGCCGGACAUCUCACCAGCUCCGACUACAGUAAUGACGAUCAGGUUGAUGACCUUAUCACGAGCUGUAGAGAGGAGGUGCAUGGCCGCCGUCAGCUCGUACCGUGAGGCGUCCUGUUAAGUCAGGCAACGAGCGAGACCCACACAUCUAAUUGCCAGCAGCAGUUCCGACUGGCUGGGUACAUUAGAUGGACUGCCAGUGCCAAACUGGAGGAAGGAAUGGGCAACGGUAGGUCAGUAUGCCCCGAAUGAGCUGGGCUACACGCGGGCUACAAUGGCCAGAACAAUGGGUUGCUAUCUCGAAAGAGAACGCUAAUCUCCAAACGGAGUCGUAGUUCGGAUUGCGGGCUGAAACCCGCCCGCAUG
This 906-nucleotide ribosomal RNA is filed under the name uncultured Halobacteria archaeon. RNAcentral's name for it is "bacterial SSU rRNA". It matches the Rfam family "Archaeal small subunit ribosomal RNA", at positions 374 to 1278 of the family's 1478-position model. Lineage: Archaea; Methanobacteriati; Methanobacteriota; Halobacteria. The record is from RNAcentral.